Molecule: ribosomal RNA, 250 nt
Filed under: uncultured prokaryote
Description: partial 16S rRNA
Rfam family: Bacterial small subunit ribosomal RNA
Source: RNAcentral
ACGUAGGGGGCAAGCGUUGUCCGGAAUUACUGGGCGUAAAGCGCACGCAGGCGGUUUGUUAAGUCGGCUGUGAAAGAUUGGGGCUCAACCCCGGAUUGCGUUCGAUACUGGCGGACUUGAGUGUCGGAGAGGGAAGUGGAAUUUUCGGUGUAGCGGUGAAAUGCGUAGAUAUCGGGAGGAACACCAGUGGCGAAGGCGGCUUCCUGACCGACAACUGACGCUCAUGUGCGAAAGCUGGGGGAGCAAACAG